Molecule: ribosomal RNA, 598 nt
Filed under: Hammondia heydorni
Lineage: Eukaryota; Apicomplexa; Conoidasida; Eucoccidiorida; Sarcocystidae
Description: eukaryotic LSU rRNA
Rfam family: Eukaryotic large subunit ribosomal RNA
Source: RNAcentral
GAAAAGGAAGCGAUUGGGACCCUUCCGAUUCCAAGAAGUGCCGCCGGUUUGCCAUCUAUCCCUUUGCCUUCUCUCUCUCACCAGGUUUAGGCUUAGGUUUCUCGAUGUAUUUCCGGUUAAUCUUUUUGGAGAGGUCAGCAUCAGCUACUCGGAAUUGAUUUCGUUCAAAGAAGGUAGGUUCCUUGUGGACCCUUAUAUCUUUGUUCUUUCCUUUUCCUUGUGGCUGAGGAGUGUUUUGGUUUCCGAGCUCCACUUUCGAGUACUCGGUUUCUGUGAUGCUGGCUUAAUCGGUUCCAACCGACCCGUCUUGAAACACGGACCAAGGAGUCUAACAUAUGUGCGAGUAUGCGGGUUUUACUCCUGUAUGCGCAAUGAAAGUGAGAGUAGGGAGAUUUUGGCUUUGCCAUUCUUCGCACCUACGACCGACCACGAUCUCUGAGAGAGGUUUGAGUUGGAGCAUAUCUGUUAGGACCCGAAAGAUGGUGAACUAUGCCUGAGUAGAAUGAAGUCAGGGGAAACCCUGAUGGAGGUUCGUAGCGAUACUGACGUGCAAAUCGUUCGUCAAACUUGGGUAUAGGGGCGAAAGACUAAUCGAACC